This 481-nucleotide ribosomal RNA is filed under the name uncultured bacterium. Its description in RNAcentral is "bacterial SSU rRNA". It matches the Rfam family "Bacterial small subunit ribosomal RNA", at positions 903 to 1397 of the family's 1533-position model. The record is from RNAcentral.
AAAGGAAUAGACGGGGGCCCGCACAAGCAGCGGAGCGUGUGGUUCAAUUCGAUGCAACGCGAAGAACCUUACCAGGGCUUGACAUGCACGUGGUAGCGACGCGAAAGCGAAGUGACCCUUCGGGGAGCGUGCACAGGUGCUGCAUGGCUGUCGUCAGCUCGUGCCGUGAGGUGUUGGGUCAAGUCCCACAACGAGCGCAACCCUCGCUGCUAGUUAGAUCUCUCUAGCGGGACCGCCGGCGAAAGCCGGAGGAAGGAGGGGAUGACGUCAAGUCCGUAUGGCCUUGAUGUCCUGGGCUACACACACGCUACAAUGGCCGGUACAAUGGGUUGCCAAGUCGCGAGGCGGAGCAAAUCCCAAAAAGCCGGCCUCAGUUCGGAUUGCAGGCUGCAACUCGCCUGCAUGAAGUCGGAGUUGCUAGUAACCGCCGGUCAGCCAUACGGCGGUGAAUACGUUCCCGGGCCUUGUACACACCGCCCGU